Molecule: long non-coding RNA, 3796 nt
Organism: Physeter macrocephalus (sperm whale)
Lineage: Eukaryota; Metazoa; Chordata; Mammalia; Artiodactyla; Physeteridae
Exons: 7
Source: RefSeq, a predicted model, not a curated record
CCCAGACGCCUUUGGUGUCACCUUUGACCCUUCCUGGCUCCUUUGUUUCCCCAAAUGUUCUUACCCCCGUCGUCAAGACUGAUAUUAGAAUUAGCUGAAUGCUGAGGUCGUUCCUGUACCACCUAUCUGGACACAUCGCCUCAUCUCCAAGAGCUCUUGCAUACAAUCAGUAAAAGCACUUUUCCAACAACUGGGGUGCAGAGGUGAACAAAAGUCAAAGUUCGUGUUCUCUUGGAGUUUCUAGGGGAAGGAGUCUGCAUAGAUUCUUCUCAACAGACUGUGUGAGUGAUAUAAAGAAUAUGAGCUUGGAGCAUACAGGCCUGGAUUUGAAUUCCGGUUCUGGUACUUAUUGACUGUGUAACCUUGGAGACAUGCCCUGCUCGGUGGGGGAGGAGGAGUGGACCACCACUCCAGUCCCCCAGACCAUCACGGACCUCUUCAGAAAUGGGAACUGGACGAUGGAGAACCCCACCCCACCUGCCAGUGUAGCAGCGACAAAAUCAAGAAGAUGCUGUCUGUGUGUCCCCUGGGGGCUGGGGGGCUGCCUCCUCCACAAGUAUGGUAGGUUUCUCGGGGUGCCAGUGCUUCUCAAUCAUGUCCUCCAAGUCAAAGUUAAGGAUGCCAUCAAGCAAGUGAAAGAACACUUGAAGCUCGGCAAGUAACAUGAACCCUCAGAUUCUCACUGACUUUCUCUUUGCAAGAAGAACAUGUUAGUGGACAUAAUUACAUCCAUCUAUGUCAACUCUGCGAUGUCCUCUGUCCCGGCCAGCUUUGUCAUGUUCCUGACCCAGGGGUGCGUCAGCAAAUAGAAGCACCUGUAGUUCAUCAGCGGAGUGAAGCCCAUCAUUCUACUGGCUCUCCAAUUCUGUCUAGGACAUGGGGACAUGGGUUCGAGCCCUGGUCCGGGAAGAUCCCACAUGCCAUGGAGAAGCUAAGUCCGUGAGACACAACUACUGAACCUGUGCUCUAGAGCUCGCGAGCCACAACUACUGAAGCCUGUGUGCCUAGAGCCCAUGCUCUGCAACAAGAGAAGCCACCGCAAUGAGAAGCCCAUGCACCACAACGAAGGUUAGCCCCCGUUCGCCACAGCUAGAGAAAGCCUGUGCGCAGCAACAAAGACCCAACACAGCCAAAAAAAAUAAAUAAAUAAAGACUAGACCCAAAUUGCAUGACUUCCUAAUACAUGUUCCUUUAUUUUAAAAAAGCAAGAUCAUAAAAAAAGUUGUGUUUAUUAUUGAACAUUUGGGUGAUACAAAGAAAAAAACUAAAAGUAGCAAUAAUGUUAACCACCUAAGGAAAACCUCAAUUAAGUGUAUUUCCUUUAAAAAAUGUGAGGAAAAUCACAUUAGGAUCUUGCUGUAUAUUAUGCUUAGUCUUAGUAAUAGAUUUUAAAAAAUCAACAAUGUGUUCUUUCUAUGGAAAUAACAUUAAUUUUUUAAAUUAAUUUUUAUUGGAGUAUAGUUGCUUUACAAUGUUGUGUUCGUUUCUGCUGUACAGCAACGUGAAUCAGCUAUACGUAUAUAUCCCCUCUUUUUUGGAUUUCCCAUUUAGGUCACCACAGAUCAUUGAGUAGAGUUCCCUGUGCAAUAACAUUAAUUUUUCAUGGCUAUGUGAAUUCCUUCUUAUAGAUAUAACAACAUUUUAUCCCAACCCCUUGUUAUUGACCAAUUAAAUUAUUUCCAAUAUUUCAGUAUUCUAUGAAAUACUGGGGUAAUGUUCUUGUGCAUAGUUUUUUACAAACUUUUUAUAAUUACAGUAUAAUACAUGUUAUCUGUAUAGGAAAAUGCAGAUAAAGUAGGAGGCAUUUCAGUACCAUCCAGAAAUAACCACUUUAAUACUUGGUAUAUCUCUUUCCAUAGUUAUGCAUACAUGUUUCAUUUUAAUAUAUAUUUAUGCAUUUAUAUACACAUAAACAUAAAAAUAUAUGCUUAUGGUUAUAAAUACAUUAUAUGUGACACAUAUCUAUAUAUCUAUUUAUGUAUCACAUGUGUAUUACAUAAAGAAGGUUAUACCACAUUGUUUCCAAAGUUUCCUUACUAUAAAUAAUGCUGACAUAAAUUUCAUUAGAGCAGCAGUACAUGUAUAUCUAUAAUAAGAGCAAUGUUGAUGACAACUUCUACUAACAUUUAUUGCAUGCCUACUACGUGCUGAGCCUGGUUUUACAUUUUGUGUGUAUUAACUCAUUUAGUUUUCAUAAUAACCUUCAGUGGUAGGUUAUUAUUAUCAUCAUUUUAUGGAUGAGGAAACUAAGGCACAGUAAGGUUAAGUAACUCACCCAAGGUGACAGAGUUUUAAGUGGUGGAGCUGGGAUUCAAACCCAGGCAGUCUGGAUCUGAUUAUUUUCUUAACAUAAACUCCUAAAAUUUAAAUUGAGACAACCAAAGACUAUCUUACAUAUAUACACUUACAAAUGUACAGUGUAUAUAUUAUACACUAUCCUCCAGAAGGGAAGUACUGAUUUAUACUCAGCAUAUUAUCAUAUUCCUAGUACACUGAGAACGAAUUUAAGAUUAAAAAGUGUGUGCACACACAUUUCAGUAGUUUUUUUAAAUAAAAAUUCUACACGUCCAUUAUAGUAAAUUAGAGAUUUAAAAAACCUUUAAUGUCAUCAUUCAAAUGUGAUUAUAUAUUUUAUAUCCUUUCAAAUUUCCUUCUUGUAUAACUAAAACCAUUCAUAUUUCCUAGAAUGUUGGCAAAAACAGUUGAAAAAAAUUAGCUUUUUAUUUUAUUGCCAAAUUAUUAAGGGGGGCAAGAUUAAGCCAAUACAACCCUACAUAGUACAACAGUACUUGUUUGUCCCUAACCCCUCUAACACUAUAUCUAUAUAAUAUGUUUUUAUUAGGUAAAAAAUGGCAUCCAAUUAAUGAUUUUUGUGUUUUUUUUUUUGCGGUACGCGGGCCUGUUACUGUUGUGGCCUCUCCCGUUGCGGAGCGCAGCCUCCGGACCCACAGGCUCAGCGGCCAUGGCUCACUGGCCCAGCCGCUCGGUGGCAUGUGGGAUCUUCCCGGACGGGGACACGAACCCGUGUCCCCUGCAUCGGCAGGCGGACCCUCAACCACUGCGCCACCAGGGAAGCCCCAAUUAUUGUUUUAAUCUGCAACUUCUUUAAUAUAUAUUAGUCAUCUGUGUCGUCUUUGCAUACGCUUUUAUUUUUCUUUUUGCUUUUGGAUUUCAUUUAUGUUGUUUUGGGUAUGCACAGAAAUUUGAGCCUUUGUACAAUAAAAUCAUUAGUUCUUUUUUUCUCCUUCAUAGUUUCUUCAUUUGCUUUUGGCUUAGAAAUGUUGUUCUCACAUAUUAUUAAAUAAAUUUAUCUAUAUUGUUUCAGUAAUUCUAUGAAUUCAGAUUUUUAAUUGAUAUUUAUAAUCCAUCUUGAUUUUAUUUUAGUGUAUGGUGUGAGAAAGGCAUCUAAUAAUUGUCAUAAUUUUUCUCCUCUUCAUGUAUUUUCCAACUUGAACAAACAUCUAUUUUUGCACAGUCCAACUUUUUUUUUUACAAUAUAUUAUUAAAAGUUGAAUUUCUGGGCAACGAUCAGCUCAACUCUGGAUAUGUUAGGUUUGAGAUGUCCAUUAGACAUGAAGUGGAGAAUACGAGGAGGCAACUGGGUAUUAUGAGUUUUCAAAUAUUAAAAGUCUUAGUUAUCCUCUCAGAUAAAUUUUACAAGCAUUUUUCGAGUUUGCCACAAAAAAACAAAAAAACCCUCUGAAAUCCUGACUGGAGUAUCUUUCAACUUGAAAAGCUAAAUAUCCCAAAUAGGUGUUUUAUUAAAUAAAUCAAUAUGGUAUACAUACUAUGUAUA